This 433-nucleotide ribosomal RNA is filed under the name uncultured bacterium. RNAcentral's name for it is "partial 16S ribosomal RNA". It matches the Rfam family "Bacterial small subunit ribosomal RNA", at positions 29 to 507 of the family's 1533-position model. The record is from RNAcentral.
AACGAACGCUGGCGGCAUGCCUAACACAUGCAAGUCGAACGAGACCUUCGGGUCUAGUGGCGCACGGGUGCGUAACGCGUGGGAACCUGCCCUUAGGUUCGGAAUAACUCCCCGAAAGGGGUGCUAAUACCGGAUAAUGUCUUCGGACCAAAGAUUUAUCGCCUUUGGAUGGGCCCGCGUUGGAUUAGCUAGUUGGUAGGGUAAAAGCCUACCAAGGCGACGAUCCAUAGCUGGUCUGAGAGGAUGAUCAGCCACACUGGGACUGAGACACGGCCCAGACUCCUACGGGAAGCAGCAGUGGGGAAUAUUGGACAAUGGGCGAAAGCCUGAUCCAGCAAUGCCGCGUGAGUGAUGAAGGCCUUAGGGUUGUAAAGCUCUUUUACCCGGGAUGAUAAUGACAGUUCCGGGAGAAUAAGCUCCGGCUAACUCCGUG